This 72-nucleotide transfer RNA is filed under the name Camelus bactrianus (Bactrian camel). It matches the Rfam family "tRNA". From Rfam's summary of the family: Transfer RNA (tRNA) molecules are approximately 80 nucleotides in length. Lineage: Eukaryota; Metazoa; Chordata; Mammalia; Artiodactyla; Camelidae. RNAcentral also lists the same sequence under 2 other names. The record is from Rfam by way of RNAcentral.
GAGGGUAGAGCUAAGGGGCAGAGCACAUGCUUAACAUGCAAGAGGUCUUGGGUUCAAUCCCCAGUGCCUCCA